This 215-nucleotide long non-coding RNA is filed under the name Elaeis guineensis (African oil palm). RNAcentral's name for it is "long non-coding RNA (EGUI_LNC001449)". The record is from RNAcentral. Lineage: Eukaryota; Viridiplantae; Streptophyta; Magnoliopsida; Arecales; Arecaceae.
AUUCAGAGCAUUCCAAAGCAGUUUGAUAUUAGCCAGCAACUUCAUCAUAUUGAUCGAUGAGAGAGAGCUCAUAUUGAUUGAUGUAUCAGACAUACACAAUAUAUCAUCAUUUGGAAUGUACGAUGAGAUCAUAUAGUUUAUGGUGAUCAUAUAUUGGGAGAUCAUUCAUAUAUCGAGGACUACAUGACUUGAUUUCUUAGUAUUACAGUAUCGAU